This 257-nucleotide unclassified non-coding RNA is filed under the name plant metagenome. RNAcentral describes it as "partial contains small subunit ribosomal RNA, internal transcribed spacer 1, and 5.8S ribosomal RNA". The record is from RNAcentral.
UUUCCGUAGGUGAACCUGCGGAAGGAUCAUUAACGAGUUAGGGUCUUCUAGGCCCGACCUCCCAACCCUUUGUUUACUGAACCAUUGUUGCCUCGGUGGGUCCGUCUUACGACCGCCGGGGGAUCGCCGCGAGGCGCCCCCUGGCCAGCGCCCACCGAUAGCCCAACCUUUAAAACCCUUUGUGAAUCGUGUCUUAUGUCUAAAUUUAUGAUUAAACAAUCAUAACAAAACUUUCAACAACGGAUCUCUUGGUUCUG